Molecule: long non-coding RNA, 1222 nt
Organism: Monodelphis domestica (gray short-tailed opossum)
Lineage: Eukaryota; Metazoa; Chordata; Mammalia; Didelphimorphia; Didelphidae
Source: RefSeq, a predicted model, not a curated record
GCAGCAGCAACAGCAACAGCAAUAGCAGCAGCAGCAGCAACAGCAGCAGCAACAGCAACAGCAAUAGCAGCAGCAGUAGCAAUAGCAGUAGCUAUCUUGAUUUCCAUCCCUGGCAAAAUUCUAAGAAUAUUAAUAAAGGGAUACAUAAUGAAAAACUAGAAAAGAGAAUGAAGAUGACAAUGAAAUAGUAUAUUUUCACUUGAGAAUGGGUUGUCUCAAACUAACCUCUGAAAGGAAGGAAACAAGAAUUAAUUACUCUGUGCUAGACACUGUGCUAUCACUACUAUUAUUACUACUAGUAUUGCUACUGCUACUGCUACUGCUACAUCCUUCCUUUCAGAGGUAAACACGGUGGCAGUGUAGAUGCAGGACUCUUCCUCUCCUCAUCGCCUACAGAUAUAGACUACUUCAAAAGGCAAAAAAAAACCAAAUUCAUAUGAAUGAGGAGACUCCACAGUAGAGCACAGCAGUGCAGGUUCCUGGAUGAGUCUGCUUUCAGAAGAUCAGCCGCUAGCCAAAUUGUCACUGUAGCCCAGUAGACGCUCUUUGGUCAUCUGUUGCUUUUCCUGAAAACCCAAGUACUGGAGGCUGCUGGAUUCUCUGCUAUUGGGAUCUGGGAAAUAUUAAAGCAUGUUCCUGAGUCUCAUCCAGGUUGAUUUUACUGUAAUUGAAACCACAGUACAAAUAGGGUGCUUGUUUCUGCCAGGCUUAAACCUGUGCUUGUCCAUGAAUUGAGUGGAAAGGGUUCUUUCCUGCAACUCAAAAUUCAAGAGUUGGGAUACCAACAAAAAUGUCUUGUUUAAAAGAAUUAGCUUUAAAAAAUGGCAUGAAGGAGAAAAUUGUGUAUUUUGUGGUCUCCACCUACUGCUGAUUUUUGUUUUGGCAAACAGCAUUUUUACCACAGGCAUUAGGUCCUCCAAGAUCAAACAGUAUAAAUUAAAUAUGACUUGGCCUAAAAAGCUAUAUAUUAACUAUAAAUCUGUCAUCUUAGUUUCGUUCCUAAAUGGGGGCAGAAGUUUUUCUCUUUUCAAAUAAACAUAUACACUACCAAGUAAUAUCUUCCAUAGACAUAGCAAUCUCUUUUUCUCAAAUAUUUAACCAAGAACAGCCAAAGAAUAUGCUCAUACCAAUCAGGAGAGGUAAAUUAAACAAGCCUAGACUUUCAUUUCACUUUUUUUUUUAUCGCAACAAAGCCUUUUUCAAAAAAAAAAUGCUGGUUCCC